RNAcentral lists this non-coding RNA (174 nucleotides) under human gut metagenome. RNAcentral describes it as "6S / SsrS RNA". It matches the Rfam family "6S / SsrS RNA". From Rfam's summary of the family: E. coli 6S RNA was the first non coding RNA to be sequenced, but its function was unknown until recently. It consists of 184 nucleotides that fold into an extended hairpin structure with a large single-stranded internal bulge. The record is from RNAcentral.
AUCCCUGCAUUGUUUGUGACAGCCCAAGUUUUGAACCAACACAUUAUUUAAGGGAAUUUCUCUCUUUCCGCAGCCCACAUGCCUCGAUUUAUCGGGGAUUUGGAAACCGGAAAGGAAAAUACCCACCUGUCGAGGACAGGUACAAAACCCGGCUGAACGGCAAAGGCGGGGGUU